UUAAUGUAGCUUAAAUUUUUAAAAAGCAAGACACUGAAAAUGUCUAGAUGGGCCCUAUAGCCCCAUCAACA
Molecule: transfer RNA, 71 nt
Filed under: Delphinapterus leucas (beluga whale)
Lineage: Eukaryota; Metazoa; Chordata; Mammalia; Artiodactyla; Monodontidae
Description: tRNA-Phe
Source: RNAcentral